GGAAUGUCUAGUAUAAGCAAUUAUACCGUGAAACUGCGAAUGGCUCAUUAAAUCAGUUAUCGUUUAUUUGAUAGUACCUUACUACUUGGAUAACCGUGGUAAUUCUAGAGCUAAUACAUGCUGAAAACCCCAACUUCGGGAGGGGUGUAUUUAUUAGAUAAAAAACCAACGCCCUUCGGGGCUUCUUGGUGAUUCAUGAUAACUUUACGGAUCGCAUGGCCUUGCGCCGGCGACGGUUCAUUCAAAUUUCUGCCCUAUCAACUUUCGAUGGUAAGGUAUUGGCUUACCAUGGUUUCAACGGGUAACGGGGAAUUAGGGUUCGAUUCCGGAGAGGGAGCCUGAGAAACGGCUACCACAUCCAAGGAAGGCAGCAGGCGCGCAAAUUACCCAAUCCCGACACGGGGAGGUAGUGACAAUAAAUACUGAUACAGGGCUCUUUUGGGUCUUGUAAUUGGAAUGAGUACAAUUUAAACCUCUUAACGAGGAACAAUUGGAGGGCAAGUCUGGUGCCAGCAGCCGCGGUAAUUCCAGCUCCAAUAGCGUAUAUUAAAGUUGUUGCAGUUAAAAAGCUCGUAGUUGAAACUUGGGUCUGGCUGGCAGGUCCGCCUCACCGCGUGUACUUGUCCGGCCGGGCCUUCCUUCUGGAGAACCUCAUGCCCUUCACUGGGCGUGUUGGGGACCAGGACUUUUACUUUGAAAAAAUUAGAGUGUUCAAAGCAGGCCUUUGCUCGAAUACGUUAGCAUGGAAUAAUAGAAUAGGACGUGCGGUCCUAUUUUGUUGGUUUCUAGGACCGCCGUAAUGAUUAAUAGGGACAGUCGGGGGCAUCAGUAUUCAAUUGUCAGAGGUGAAAUUCUUGGAUUUAUUGAAGACUAACUACUGCGAAAGCAUUUGCCAAGGAUGUUUUCAUUAAUCAGUGAACGAAAGUUAGGGGAUCGAAGACGAUCAGAUACCGUCGUAGUCUUAACCGUAAACUAUGCCGACUAGGGAUCGGGCGAUGUUCUUUUUCUGACUCGCUCGGCACCUUACGAGAAAUCAAAGUUUUGGGCUCUGGGGGAGAG
This 1059-nucleotide ribosomal RNA is filed under the name Ageratinicola kunmingensis. RNAcentral's name for it is "SSU rRNA". It matches the Rfam family "Eukaryotic small subunit ribosomal RNA", at positions 52 to 1123 of the family's 1831-position model. The record is from RNAcentral. Lineage: Eukaryota; Fungi; Ascomycota; Dothideomycetes; Pleosporales.